RNAcentral lists this long non-coding RNA (332 nucleotides) under Phaseolus vulgaris (common bean). RNAcentral's name for it is "long non-coding RNA (PVUL_LNC000568)". Lineage: Eukaryota; Viridiplantae; Streptophyta; Magnoliopsida; Fabales; Fabaceae. The record is from RNAcentral.
UUGGUGCCAUUGAGUCUUCCUAUCAUAGUGGUUGCUGUGUACUUUCAUUGGCUCAGCAUGAAGUUGUUUAAGCAUGCUUAGCAUAACUUUGCCAAAUUUUGAAGGCAGAAAUACAUGUAUGCUGUUGGAGCAACAACCACCUAUAUCAAUUUCUGUUUUAUUAGAUAUUUCUGCAACUUGCACUCAUCCCAUCACCUAAAAAGAACAUAAGAAUUAAGAUGUUAAAUGGGACUGCAUACCUGUCAAAUACUAUUCAUGUUUGUUGUACAUUUGAAGGUACUCAAGGCCUAAGGAAAGUUACGUACAUCAUUUAGUCAUUCCAGCAGCAUAAC